This 355-nucleotide unclassified non-coding RNA is filed under the name uncultured Ascomycota. RNAcentral describes it as "sequence contains ITS1". The stretch from base 1 to 105 matches the Rfam family "5.8S ribosomal RNA", at positions 50 to 154 of the family's 154-position model. Lineage: Eukaryota; Fungi; Ascomycota. The record is from RNAcentral.
GAAAUGCGAUAAAUAAUGUGAAUUGCAGAAUUCCGUGAAUCAUCGAAUCUUUGAACGCACAUUGCGCCCACUGGUAUUCUAGUGGGCAUGCCUAUCCGAGCGUCGUCUCCACCCUCAGACCACAGGGGAUCCACCCCCGGGUUAGGUCUUGGGGAUCUGCCCCCUUACGGUGGCCGGUCCCCUAAAUAUAGUGGCCGAGUGUGGCCAGCCCCCUUUACGUAGUAGAUACUAUCCGUUUAGGGGGCGGCCCAUCCCCGUGCCAGGACGCUCCAGGGGCGCCCCCAGACCGGGCGCCGCGGGGCAACCUUACUCGCUAAGUGACCUCGGAUUAGGUAGGAGUACCCGCUGAACUUAA